RNAcentral lists this ribosomal RNA (625 nucleotides) under uncultured bacterium. Its description in RNAcentral is "bacterial SSU rRNA". It matches the Rfam family "Bacterial small subunit ribosomal RNA", at positions 61 to 692 of the family's 1533-position model. The record is from RNAcentral.
GUCGAGCGGAGAUGUACUGAAGAUUUAUCGGAUGUACAUCCUAGCGGCGGACGGGUGAGUAACGCGUGGGCAACCUGCCUUCCACUGGGGGAUAACACAGGGAAACCUGUGCUAAUACCGCAUGACAUCACAUAGGGCAUCCUGUGUGAUCAAAGGAGUGAUCCGGUGGAAGAUGGGCCCGCGUCCGAUUAGCUAGUUGGUGAGGUAACGGCCCACCAAGGCGACGAUCGGUAGCCGGACUGAGAGGUUGGCCGGCCACAUUGGGACUGAGACACGGCCCAGACUCCUACGGGAGGCAGCAGUGGGGAAUAUUGCGCAAUGGGGGGAACCCUGACGCAGCGACGCCGCGUGAAGGAAGAAGGCCUUCGGGUUGUAAACUUCUUUGAUGAGGGACGAAGGAAGUGACGGUACCUCAAAAACAAGCCACGGCUAACUACGUGCCAGCAGCCGCGGUAAUACGUAGGUGGCGAGCGUUGUCCGGAAUUACUGGGUGUAAAGGGCGUGUAGGCGGGGAUGCAAGUCAGAUGUGAAAUACCGCGGCUUAACCGCGGGGCUGCAUCUGAAACUGUGUCUCUUGAGUGUCGGAGAGGAAAGCGGAAUUCCCAGUGUAGCGGUGAAAUGCGUA